GUGAGGAAUAUUGCGCAAUGGAGGCAACUCUGACGCAGCCAUGCCGCGUGCAGGAAGAAGGCGCUACGCGUUGUAAACUGCUUUUAACCGGGAAGAAACCCCAGGACGUGUCCUGGGUUGACGGUACCGGAGGAAUAAGCACCGGCUAACUUCGUGCCAGCAGCCGCGGUAAUACGAAGGGUGCAAGCGUUAUCCGGAUUCAUUGGGUUUAAAGGGUGCGUAGGCGGAGCGUUAAGUCAGUGGUGAAAUCCUGCAGCUUAACUGUAGACUUGCCAUUGAUACUGGCGCGCUUGAGUGCGCUUGAAGUGGGCGGAAUGUGCCGUGUAGCGGUGAAAUGCUUAGAUAUGGCACAGAACACCAAUUGCGAAGGCAGCUCACUAAGGCGAUACUGACGCUGAGGCACGAAAGCGUGGGGAUCGAACAGGAUUAGAUAUCCCUGUAGUCC
RNAcentral lists this ribosomal RNA (445 nucleotides) under uncultured bacterium. RNAcentral's name for it is "bacterial SSU rRNA". It matches the Rfam family "Bacterial small subunit ribosomal RNA", at positions 354 to 796 of the family's 1533-position model. The record is from RNAcentral.